GACGAACGCUGGCGGCGUGCUUAACACAUGCAGGUCGAACGGAAAGGCCCUGCUUUUGUGGGGUGCUCGAGUGGCGAACGGGUGAGUAACACGUGAGUAACCUGCCCUUGACUUUGGGAUAACUUCAGGAAACUGGGGCUAAUACCGGAUAGGAGCUCCUGCUGCAUGGUGGGGGUUGGAAAGUUUCGGCGGUUGGGGAUGGACUCGCGGCUUAUCAGCUUGUUGGUGGGGUAGUGGCUUACCAAGGCUUUGACGGGUAGCCGGCCUGAGAGGGUGACCGGCCACAUUGGGACUUGGGUACGGCCCAGACUCCUACGGGGGGCAGGGGGGGGGAAUAUUGCAAAAUGGGGGGAAGCCUGGUGCAGAAACCCCGCGGGGGGGAUGCCGGCCUUCGGGUUGUAAACCGCUUUCGCCGUUAACGAAGCGUGAGGGGCGGUAAUGGGUAAAGAAGCACCGGCUAACUACGU
This 467-nucleotide ribosomal RNA is filed under the name uncultured bacterium. RNAcentral describes it as "partial 16S ribosomal RNA". It matches the Rfam family "Bacterial small subunit ribosomal RNA", at positions 28 to 506 of the family's 1533-position model. The record is from RNAcentral.